Long non-coding RNA from Chelonus insularis, 1185 nucleotides. RefSeq lists it as uncharacterized. Lineage: Eukaryota; Metazoa; Arthropoda; Insecta; Hymenoptera; Braconidae. The transcript is spliced from 3 exons. The record is from RefSeq and is a predicted model, not a curated record.
CAACCAUCGACAUGAGUACAUCUUUGAGGUCAAGUAGAGUACAAUUUUUUAAACAUUACCUAACUGCCAUGAUGCUUGUAAACCUACUUUGGACCGUUAGGUGUCUCUGAGACCGUUGAAAUGCAGUGAACGUGUGGAGGACAAGAAUAUCGGGGUCAGAGAGGAGAUGGCAGUGGAUGUCAAGCGCAGAAUUGUACCAACACAGGGGGUUAGGAUUAGCUGAUUGGCGUCGACGAGGCCAUCUGGCACCAGUGUAUAUUCCUACACGUUAUACGGACAGCUCGUCGACCGCGUGUAUGCAGAAUGGAAAGCACCAUCGUACAACGUCCACUCGAACGACCACGACAGCUGACGCAAUCGGACUUAUUACACCCCCGAGUAUUUUCUCUACUCUUGUAUCCUACAAUCUCCAUCCAUCCAUACAAUACAUCUAUCGAGAAGACAGAAAUAAAAAAAAAACCAGCGGAAGGAAAUGAUUUUCUUCAAUCUAUGGAUUAAAUUGGUAUGAAUGUUUACAUGAUAAAGGAAGUUAUAAAAUUCCAAAUGUACAGGUCUUUGGGAAUUUUGAAGAAACAUCUGGAGAACAUACACUACCCUUAUUGGCGCACAUGUUUUGCAGAUAUUAAGGGGGUUUUCCGAACCACAUGCGAGAGUCUUCUGUCAUCUUAUCUGGUUGCAAUUAACCUCUUGUAGGGGUUUCUACCCCUACCCAACAGUUGUAUUGUAUGGUUUAACUACUUGUAUUCAACUAUUGUAAAGAUACUUUUCAGCUUUUCUAACAACUUACAUAGUUUAUUAUCUUUCUAAAAUAUAUAAACAGCUUUAUGAAAAUGUGUUUCACUGUACCACUACUGUCAGUAUAUCUGGAAGAUGGUAUAACAUACGUAAUGCAGCUUUUCUGAUUGUAUAUACAUAAGUGGGUAGGUAUGGUUCAUGUUAUUGAUGAAGAUGGUUAAUAUAUUCUGGAGAUUCUGGGAAAUGGUGGAGAAAAAAUAUUGAAAAAACUCGAGACUGAGUGUAUUGGUUAACAGUGAUGCCAUUGAUCGUCAGAGAAAAGUAUGGGAGGAUGAAGAAAUUAAAGUGGAAAAGGUUGAGAAAGAUAAAAAAUUUACACAUAUAUGUAUUGAGUGUUGUCUUUGUUAAUAAUCAUGACUGAUGCCGUUGUUCUCUUUCAAAGUAUUUUAU